Long non-coding RNA from Mandrillus leucophaeus (drill), 3660 nucleotides. RefSeq lists it as uncharacterized. The transcript is spliced from 2 exons. NCBI's taxonomy places the organism in Eukaryota, Metazoa, Chordata, Mammalia, Primates, Cercopithecidae. The record is from RefSeq and is a predicted model, not a curated record.
CCCCAGGAGUUGCAGCUGUGUGAAUGGUACCUUCUUGCUUCUGGAGAAGCUCAUCCACACCAGCACCUCAUUCGAUUCCCCAUCAAUUAGCCCAGAGAGGUGGGCGGCUUGCCCAGGACGCAGCCCAUGGGCAGAACCGGAGUGGGGCUGGAGAGGGCCUCCUGCUCACUGGGCAGGUUACAUCUUCACGGCCUUGUGUUUUGCUCGUUAGGGUUCCUCCUCCUCUAGUUGGUGUGAAAUAAGAGCUCCGUGAUGAGUUGGAGCAUUACUGCAGAAAACAUAGCCCCAUCUUUUGCCUGUGAGGAAUGGGCAUCCCACAGGUCUGAAUUCCCUCUGGGGUCCUGGCUGCAGCUGUGGUUCAAGGUGGGCGCCGAUUGGUUGCACCCAAGCCCUGGAAAGAGGAGGCUCUGCCACUGUCAGCAACACUGAGGACACGCAGGGAUGAGGUGCCCCGAUUUGGGGAACAUUACCCUUAAGAAACUGGUGUGAUGUCAUUCCACUUCACAGUGGGGGGCCCCAGCUUUCAGGCCAGCAUUAAGGACAAGUGCCGUUGCCAUGUGAAAAAGUUAUUUUCCCAAACAAUGAACAAUCCUAGUGAUGUCAUAGGCCCUGCCAGAGGGCCCAAAUCAAAUCGGUUCUGGUGCUGGGGCAGCCUCCUGUAACACUAUCCUGAGGGGAUGACUCUUCCUGGGUUGGGGGCAGACAGCAGAGAGGCCGGGGGUCUUCAGGUGCGGCCCCUGCAUGUAUCUAUGUUCACAUUUCAAAGUGGUUUUCACUCAGAGGAAGGUGGAGCUUAGCAAAGAAUUGUGCAGAUCAAGGAGCAGCAGAAAUGGGGGCUUCCCCCUGCAGCAGCAGCCCAUGGGUCAGAAGUGGGGCUGGCAUCGGGGCAAGCCAGUGCAUCCCAGGGUGGGAGGACUAAAUGAGUGGCCACAGAACGGGGAUCACUGGAGCAGGAGGUGGCCUCCCCCACGCGCCUUCAUGCCUGGCUGAAAUCUAACCCUCAUUCUUGGGCCCUCAUGUCACGGCCCAGGCCCGCCUUCCCAGCAGCCUGAUGCAGUCAAGCUGUUCCCACUCUUCUCUCUUCCUCCAGAGGAAGGACCUUUGCCGAUGAAGUCAUGGGAAUAAAAGCUCCCUCUGCUCCGAAAACAGUGGGACUGUGAAGUCAGCUUGUUGUGUGGCCUCCCGAGGCCCAGGUGGGCAGCCAUCGCUGUUUACUGGGCCUUGCAAGUCCACCACGUCAUCUAAUUUGCAAAUCAUGUGAUUAUCCCCAUUGCACAGAUGAGGAAACUGAGGCUCAGAUCUUGGGACUGGCCCAAGAUCAUGGAACCAUCAAAUGAAACCACAUCCAGGUCUGGCCCCUACAACUUGAGGUCCAUUGCUCUGGAGAACCCACAGAUUUAGUUCAAUUCAGUGAGCAUUUGUGCAGUUCCCGCAACGUGCUGGCACCAGGCUGAGCCCUCAGAAUACACUGUGGCCUGCUGCAUGGAUGUGUGGGCAGUCUCGGGUCUCACGGGGGACAUUCUUUCUCACUUCUGCCCAGAAGGUCUCUUGAGUUUUCUGCUAAUUGUCUACAUGGUUUUAAUAGAUUAAUUAAAAUAAUCAUCUUUAGCUCACCUCUCCAUUGAAUGCAAUGCCAUUUUGGAAAGAAUCACAUUCUUAAAUGUGACUGUGAUCAAAAUCACCUUGGCAUCUGACAGAGUCAUGAUGGCUCCUGGGGUCUGUUCCAAACAGGACACUUCCCCCAUGGAGAUUCCUCACUCUCAGUGACAGCCACACACCUGGCUGCCCUGCCACGUACCUGGUGCUGCAGAGCCUGGGAGAAGCAGCCACACUUCAGACCAAGCAGCUGGCACCACACCGGGCACUGGGGAUGGACAGUACAGACAUCUUUUCUGUGUAUGUGGCUGUGCCCUCUCUCCUUAAGCCAUUGGCACAUUCUCCAGCCAUACACGUGCUUUCAACUGGAUCAACUGAUGGCCCAACCAACUGGAGUAGUGGCCUGUAUCUGUCUGUUUUCUUUCUAUAAAGGAAAACUUGAGGCUGGGUAAUUUAUAAAGAAAAGAGGUUUAUUUGGCUCACAGUUCCACAGGCUGUACAGGAAGCAUGACACCAGCAUCUGCUUCUGGCGAGGCCUCAGGAAGCUUCCCCUCAUGGUGGCAGGGGAAGGGGAGCAGGUGUGUCACACAGAGAGGAAGCAAGGGAGAGCAGGGGAGGUGUCAGGUUCUUUAACGAUCAGCUCUGCGUGAACACACCACCAUUACUGCACCGCGCCACGCCUGAGGGGUCCUCCCACCAGGCCCAGCUCCAACGCCAGCGAUCAGACUCUACAUGAGAUUUGGAGGGGACAGAUCUCCAAGCUAUGUCAUGGUCUACCUGACUACAGAAAACUGUCAGGUGACCAGUCCAUUUAAUUACAGUCACAUGAGGGUGUCAAUAGCCUGAUUCCAGGAACCACUGUCCCUGCCUGAAUAGAGAAGAUGCUGGAUAAUAAAAGGGGCCUGUCUGGCAGGUGUUGGGAAACUCAAGUUCAAUGGAAGUGGCUGGAAGCAUGCCUAGGCCCUGGCUUACCUGGGGACCCGAGGGAGCUGAGAUAGAGUUGGCGGUGCUGGGCCUGGCUGAGGGCCCUGUGUGCCCACUGAAGGCUGAGGGGCCUUAGUUUACCCAGCAUCUUCCGUGGCCAAGACAACACACACCUACCUGGAGGACAUGAGCACACAGAGCUGGGGAGGUGGGUUUCACUCACACACCCCUGUGGGCUUUUGCACAUGUUCCAAGGCUACGCGCUCCCCUUUCUAGAAGCCCCUAUUAGCCUCAAGCCUUCUAAUGAGUCCUUGCUGUCCUGGGAUUUGGAUGGUGGAAGGGGGUGCCUUGGCUGCCCUAUGACUGUUGCUUGGUGAGUGAGUGCAUUAAUGUCCCUUCCUGCAAAGCUCUCAAGUGGGUGACGUGUGCCAGACAUUCUGGCCACCAUCCUGGUGCCCUGGCCACCUUCUCCACCUGUUCUCUGUCCCCAGUUGGCCACUACAGCCUGUCAAUGGCCUCUCUUCCUUCUGGGUUCUGGUUGGGUUUGACCUGUAGGAGGCGCUAGUGGGAGACAGGGGGCAGGCUGGACAGAGAGGGCAGAUGGACUCUGCCACCUCCUCCCAGCUGGGCAACAGGGGUGCUGGCUGCAUUCCCCCGCCAAGGCCCUCUCUCAGCAGCUGCCUGGAGUCUGUGUCUGCCCUUUCCCUUCCCCCAAGACAGAGGGGGUUGCGCUCCCCGCUGCUGCUGUCCUGGGGCGCCUCUCCAGCCUCUGGGCUCCCUUCACCCUCCCCACAGCAUGGGGAGAGGCCGUCGUGAAACUCUCCUUAGCCUCUCACCUCCAUACCCAGCAGGCGCCCCUUUCCUCCUGGUGCCAUGAAGGGUGCGAUGGCCCCCUGAAUCAGGAGCCCAGCUGAUCGGGCGAGGUGCACUUUGGCACCUCAAAGCUGGGAGCCAGGACCUGGAGAGGCCCACGCCCUCCACCCGUGGAGUGUCCAUAUUCCUGCAGGGUGUGCAGGGGUGGAGAGCAGGUCUUGCUCUGGCAUGCCGCCCUUGUGGCUACUUUGUGAUCAAAGUUAGCCUAUUUUGACAUUUCAUGUCUUCAGUUGUAUUUUUAUUUAUUUUAAAAUAUUCCUGCAGAAA